RNAcentral lists this ribosomal RNA (467 nucleotides) under uncultured bacterium. RNAcentral describes it as "partial 16S ribosomal RNA". It matches the Rfam family "Bacterial small subunit ribosomal RNA", at positions 28 to 506 of the family's 1533-position model. The record is from RNAcentral.
GACGAACGCUGGCGACGUGCUUAACACAUGCAAGUCGAACGGAAAGGCCCUGCUUUUGUGGGGUGCUCGAGUGGCGAACGGGUGAGUAACACGUGAGUAACCUGCCCUUGACUUUGGGAUAACUUCAGGAAACUGGGGCUAAUACCGGAUAGGAGCUCCUGCUGCAUGGUGGGGGUUGGAAAGUUUCGGCGGUUGGGGAUGGACUCGCGGCUUAUCAGCUUGUUGGUGGGGUAGUGGCUUACCAAGGCUUUGACGGGUAGCCGGCCUGAGAGGGUGACCGGCCACAUUGGGACUGAGAUACGGCCCAGACUCCUACGGGAGGCAGCAGUGGGGAAUAUUGCACAAUGGGCGGAAGCCUGAUGCAGCAACGCCGCGUGCGGGAUGACGGCCUUCGGGUUGUAAACCGCUUUCGCCUGUGACGAAGCGUGAGUGACGGUAAUGGGUAAAGAAGCACCGGCUAACUACGG